This 474-nucleotide long non-coding RNA is filed under the name Sus scrofa (pig). RNAcentral describes it as "lncRNA (ENSSSCG00030003248.1)". The record is from RNAcentral. Lineage: Eukaryota; Metazoa; Chordata; Mammalia; Artiodactyla; Suidae.
CCGCCCGCGUGUUCCCGGCGCACCCGGCUCUCGCUCUGGCUUCCCGCUUCUGCGAGGUCUGCACACCUCGUGGCCAAGUAAGUCCCGACGACGGGGGCGGGUCGCUCGGGCCACAAGUUUUCUGGAUUACCGGGCGCUGCAAGGGAGGAGGCGCAGGGAGGCGGCAUCCUGCGAGCGGGCGGCAUUCAAAGCUGCCCUGGAUGAGCUCCAGGUGGAGCAAGGCAGAAAUACCCGGGAGGUUGCGGAAUACCACCAAAGUUCAGAGGGAUGAACUUCGGCGUCAGGGAAAUGGUCCGGAUUCCAGAAAGAAAUUGGAAAUUGACAAUAGUAGGAGAGACUGUCAUUUUAACAUACUCUCACUUGCUUCAAAGAACACCUACCCGAAUCUUUGAAAGGUAUUUCUAACCACUAAUGUAAAUAUACAUUUAACGUUAUCAACUGGCAUCCCUUCAGGGAACUAAUUUUCUAAAGCUG